This 6470-nucleotide long non-coding RNA is filed under the name Homo sapiens (human). RNAcentral describes it as "HSALNT0318435". The record is from RNAcentral. Lineage: Eukaryota; Metazoa; Chordata; Mammalia; Primates; Hominidae.
UUCCUGUUAUAUUGUUAGUUUCAUUUUGCAGUUGGAUAAAUAGGGUUAGAGAAUAGGAGGCUUUUCCAGAGUUAAGCAGCUAGAGAUAACAUCAUAAAUAUAGAAGAAAGUGGCUUCUGAAAGGUGUGUUAAAUGUGUAAAAGCUUACUUCCCUUCUCCCAUAAAAGAAGUUGGCGUAAAGGCAGUCUAGGCUUGGCAUGGUGUUUCCGAGACCAUGCUUCAAUCUUUCUCCUCCAGAAUCAUCAGACCAGUUUCUAACCUCAAGUUUACUGCAUGGUCCUACGAUGUCUGCUGGAAAGCCUGUCAUCACAUUCACAUUCCAGGCAGACAGCAGGCGCAAGUGGAUGAGGACAAAGAUCAUUUAUUCCCUCCCCUUUAAGACCCUCCUGAAAGUCAGUCACACAUGACUUUUCCCACUUCAUUGGCCAAAACUUUAUCUCUUGACCACUCCUGGCUAUAAAGCAGCUGGCAAUGCCAUCAUUUCAGGGGUUUAUAUGUGCUGUUCUAAAUACUGGGGUCUGUUCUUACGAGCAGAAAAGAAUGAGAGAAUGGAUAUUGGGAAGCAAGAGCAGCCUCUGCUCCAGCUAGAGAGGGGCAGAAAGACCCUGGUGUAUCCUCAGACUGCUGUACCCUAUGCCUGCUCACAGGACAGACAAGAGCCUUUUAAGGGUGAAGACAGGACUAGACCCCAGCCUCCUGGUCACAUGACUCAGAGAUCUCCCAUAUCCUUUUACCUUCUGUUGCAUGGAGUGGAAUGGGUCGGAGUUUGAGAUGUGGAUCUUUGUGUUAGUCUGAGACUUUUUCUGUGUGGGAGAGAUUGUAUCCUACACACAGUCUAGAAGACAUUGGGGAGGCCCUGAAGCAAUUACUAUUGCUAGAAAUAAAGUGUAGAGACAGAAGUGGGGAUGGGAUGGUACUAGAGAGUUAGGCACAAGUCGAGUGAUGAGAGGUUGAGUCUGGUCUGCACAGGAUCCUAAUAGAUCUUAACAGGCUGCAGCAAUGGUCUAAGCAUAAUGAGGCAAAACUGAAACUGAACAGGAACAGAACAUGUUACACCCGAGUCCAAAAGAAAACUAACAAGAUGCACUGAUGUGACUUAGUAUCUUCAGGAUAAAAAUGACAGAAGCACUUCAGUAAUAUCAGCCAUAAUGUGUAAGGGAGUUAUUUUGAUCUCAGCCUGCAGGAGCAGAGAAUUUCAACGAGGUGAGAGGCAUGCUUUGCCAUGCACAGGCUAGACCACACUUGUCAUGCUGCAUGUAGUUCUGAAAAGGACAGACCAAAGUUUUAAAAGGAGAGAAGCCAGGAUGGGAUUGAAGAAUCCUCAGGUUGUAUAUUUAACAUUUUUAUCAGUCACUUAGGUCACGCCUGCUUACCAAAUUUGUGGAUUACUCUAAUCUGACAGAGGUGGUAGAUACAGUGACAGGCAGAAUCAGUCAAAUAGAACAAUGAGCCAAUGCCAGGCUAUGAAAUUGAAAACAGAUCAAGGUAUCUCACCCCCAAAAAUGAUAAGUAUGUGAAGUAAUGCAUAUGUUAAUUAGCACUAUUUAGCCAUUUCAGAAAGCCUGCUUAUUUCAAACAACAUGCUGUACACAAUAAAUAUAUAUAAGAUCUGUGUCAACUAAAGAAUUAAAAUUAAAAUUAAAAGUCAAAGAAAAAAAAAGAAAAAAGUUUGGAAGAGCAAUCCAUUGUUCAAGAAAGGGAUGAGAGAGACCUGGUACAAUGGCUGUUCUAACAAAUCAGCACUUUAGUGGGCAGCAGGGCUCAUCAAAGUACCAGUGUGUCUGUGUGUGUCCCAGGCUGGUGGAUGGUGGGCUUCCAAGGAGCCUCCAGGCAGCACUGAUAUUCAUGACUUCACCCAAGCCAGGAUUUUGACCUUGGCUUUGUGGGUUUAGAUUUUCAAAGUGUUUGAGUUUCCUGGACUUGGGGAGGCUGACUCUCACUAACAAUGCUUUUAGGAGACUGCAGAUGCCGAAAGUAUUGAUUUUCAGCAUGAAUUCUACUUGUUAGGUACCUUAAACCUGAUCAGCAUACAUAUGGUUCUUCUUCCAUGUAAGAAAACCACAUGAGGAACCAAAUAAUACCUCUAAGGAGUUUUGAGGAGGAUGGAACUGAAAAGAGGGAUGUGAGUAGUGUGACUCGAAUGCUGUUAGAAGAGUCUGAUGUGUCCUUCUUCCUCAGGUGAAAGUUCUCAGACUGAAAACAUCUAGAUAACCUCUAGCUAUGCUAAGCCACAGGCACUUUUAUAGGCCUAGAACCUAUUUCGUGUCUUUAAGGUGACUUGACAGAGUGUGGUUUUGUCCUCUUAUUUUUUGACAUAUUCUGCAACUCAGGAAACAGUCUUGUUUCCCUUUCUCUAUAGCACUCGAGGUGCAUCAGUCUGCUCCUCCCUUUGCCUCAAGGUCCCACAGUGGCAAGGGGAGAGGAGACCAGUCUGGGGGGUCUGCUUAUUAAGCCUUCAUUGCUGUCUACCCCAAGAAAACUCAGAGUCACUGUCUCCUAGGCACUUCUCAGGUAGAAAGAAAUCUUUCCUUACCCUCCAAAUCUGCUAUCCUUCAGGGAUGGAUUCUCGGGUACCUUCGACCAGCUCCCUGCUCUGUUCCAGCUUCCUGGGCAUAAAGGCAAAUAAUCCCAACGUGUUUGGCUUUGACUUUUUCUCAUGGCCUCCUUUCCCAGUGGGUGGCCAUAUAUAUUCAUUCACAUGUCCAAGGGGAUUCCUCCUUCCAUCCCCCGUUUAUUGAUGUUCUUGUCACAUCUCCCUUAGGAGCUUGUUGUGUCAGUCAAGGUCCCAGCAAGAAACAGAUGGCACACUUACACUUGGAUAAUGUGAAAUGAAUUUAAUAAAGGACUACUUACAAAGCUGGGAGCAGGGCUUAGGGAAACCACGAAGAAUAGUCAAAUGCCAGAGGACUAUGAAAUCUAGGUGCUAUUGUAGGCCUGAAAGAGUGGAGAGAGGGGAAAGAGAGCCAGAAGACUGCGGGGGCUAUGCGGAAGAAACAUAGGAUUCCUGGCUUUCAACAGAACUGGCCCAUGGAAACCCCACGGCAAUAGUAAUAAAUGCCACACCCUCACUCACUUCUCUCCUUCCAAUCUCCUGCUGAUGCACAACACUGGCCAUGUGCAGUUGGUAGUCAGUGGUCAAGGGAGCCCAAGAGUGUGGUUCAGGUUCAGCUUCCCCAGGGAAUAGCAGGGUGGACAAAGAUAGAGAGUGGAUUUGGAUAGGCAAAUAGAAUAAUCCAGUAAAAACACUGAAGGCUAGACUUUGUUGUUAAUACCUGUAUUUUUUGGUUUCCCAUCCCACACAUAGUAGGUUUGCAGCAGUUGACUUGGCCAUGGAUUUCUUUGGGUAAGGAGAUGAUCUUUGAUCCCUGUAUUCCAGGGCCUAUCCCAGUACCCCCAAAAGAUGCUCCAUAAAUGUUUAUGAAAUGACUAGUGAAUGAAUGAAUGAAUAAAUGAAGUGAGCUCAGUGGGAAUUUUCCCUUAAUUUUGCUCACUGUUUCACUCCUUGGAAGUAGCCACUUCUCUGCUUCACUUGUAGGCCAGAUCCAGUUAUUAAAUUUCUAAAUUAUCCUUCUGUCUAUGGGGCUGACUCUCUAAUGAGGUCUUGUAAGUCUUUGCUUCCAUCCUCGGAGUCCAGACAAGGAGCUCUUGCCUCAGGCACAGCCUCUGUUCUCUGGGAUGUCUCACCUUUUUAGCAGGGAAGCGUUCUGUGCCAGAUGCUUAACUUGUGUCCUCCUACCAGGGAGAUUCCAUGAGGAACCUUCUCUGUUCACUUUAGGCAGAUUGGAUUGGCUUCUCCUUGCUGUACUUCUAGCUAGAUUAACUGUUAAACAAAUAUCUAUUACUUAUCUGUCAUAUUCUAGGCACUGUGCUAGGACAUGAGAAUGUUCAAGUGGGUAAGAUACAGUUUGACAUAAGGGACAAAGUGCUGCAGUCCAGAAGGAGAGAAGACAAAUAAUAAAUAAUUAUUUUACAGGGUAAUACAUGCUAUGUUAUUAUGUUAUUAUUCUAUAAUAAUUAUGGGAGCACAAUGGGUGAGGAGGGCACUGUGGGAGCCUGGGUGAGGAGCGCCAACCCACCCGGAGGCGCAAGGAAAGCUUUCUGGAGGAGUUAACACCUGAUCUUGUAGGAUGGGAAAGAGCAAGAUAUUAAAGAUAAGUGAUUCCAAGUCAAGUGGUGAGCAAGAUCAAAAUGACAGACACUUGACAUAGCAUGAUGUGUGCAAGGAAACAUGAACUAAUCUGUAUUAUUAGUGAUAACAGUUGAGGAAUGGGGGGUGAGAGGCAGAUGGAGGGGCAGGCAGGGUUUAGGGUGUGGAAGGCAUGGUAAGCUGAGCUAGGGACUUUGUAGGACAUUAACUAGAGUGAGGUGAAUAAGGCCUAUUUUAGGCACAAAAUGUAAAAGGGCUUCAAGGUCUCAGUAACUAGGAUAAGUAAUAUUAAAUGCAAUAUUUUAAACAAAAUUAAUGCAAAAACCCACAGUGAAAAAAAAAUAAAAUUUUAAGAUAAAUAGUAUUGAGUGAAUUCUUAUAAUUUCAUGUUGCUUCAGUAUCCAUUUUGAAUAUAACUUUAACUUUCUCAUACCAGAAGCAGGCUUAGUCACCCUUGGUGCAGUAUCCAGUUUUACAACUCCUCCUAGUUCCUUAAGGUGGUCAGUUCAGCUCUCUGGCUUAUAUAACUCGUGAUAGUUACCUCUCCAUGAGACAGCCAGAUACAACUGACCUAAUUAGCCCCACUGACCUCCACACCCCACAUGGACUGUGCAGGUGUGCCACAGUGGCCACCUCUUAGUCACAGCGUGACCCCCAUGAAACUAAUGCCUGCUUGUACCACCAGUUAGACCUCCCCACAGGAAACCUGCUUGAGUAACUCCCAGGACCCAAUAAAGAAUUUGGCUUACAGGUCCCCUUCUCUCUCUCUUGCUCCCCACCUGCUGGCUGAAUGCACGUGUCCUCAGUGGCUUCCCCCUUUCCAGUGACCCUGGGAGGCAUACUGCCCCCUGCACUGUGGAAUCUCUCAGCCACUUGGGUCUCCUUUGCCAAGGAGUGUCCUCCCUCUGGAACUCAAUACCAGCUCUUUCUUCUUCUGGAAUCUUCUCUCAGCUCUUUUAAGCUUAUAAAGUUGAUUCACUGACUGCUGGUUUGAAAUGGUGUCUGCUAACAAACAGUUGCUGGUACAGCUUCUCUGUAAUGUGAGGUAAAAUACCUAUAAAAGCUUAGAAGAAGAUGUAAACUCAGAACACAGCCAUAAACUUGGACUGACAAUCCCCUGAAGACUGGAUCUGGGAGGACUUUUUGCCAAUAGUACUGCCAAUGAAACUGAAAAGAAAAGAACAUUCUAUGGGUGUGGGUGUGUUACUGAGGAAAUGCUCUGUAGGCAAGAGGUAAGAAGGACUAUUAUUUUCAUUGUGCAUCUCCUGGAUGGGGAUCCCCUGGAUGAUGGGUCCCCUCAAUUGUGUAUACUUGAAUGGAUUCUCUGGUGAAAAUUGAUGACCACCCAGAACUUUAGUAUGUGCCUUUUUUUUUUUUUUUUUUUUUUGUAAAUACCUUAUCUGCAGAUACAAUGGAUUAAGAUUUAAAAUGAGACCAUACUGGGUAGGCUGGAUCCUGAAUCUAAUGAAAGCAUCUUUAUAAGGGACGGAAAGACACAUACAGUGACUCACAGACAGAAUAUGUUUCAGGCCACAUGAAGACAGACACAGAAACUGGAAUGGUGGGGUCACAAGCCAAAGAAUGCCAGGAGCCAACAAAAGCUCAAAGAGGCAAGGAAGGACUCUGUCGUAGAGACUUCAGAGAGAGCAUGCCCCUGCUGGCACUUUAUUUUGGACUGACCUCCAGAAUCGUGAGAGGAUAUAUUUUUGUUGUAUUAUGGGCAACCCUAGGAAACUAAUACAAUGGAAAACUCAAGUUUAUGCCAAGUGUUGAAAAUGGAAAUGCCUAAGAUAAUGAAAAUGAGUGGGUUGACCAGGGAGGCACAGAGGUGAAGUUGAGAGGCCACAUGGUCUAUGAAGACACAUCCAAUUGUUGUCUUCUAAGAAUGCAGACAUGGACUUGCCAAAUAUUUUUACAGUUCAGAAGAAGCUAGAAAUUUGGAUUUCAUUUGUGUGCUCUUUUUUUUUUUUUUAACAUUGCCCUAAUUUUAUUUCAAAUGUGGUACUAACCGUGUCAAACAUGUUUGAGAAAGUCAUGGGUAGCCAGUAUGGUGCCUCCUGUCUGGGUCUGUAUUAGUUUGUUCUCAUGCUGUUGAUAAUGACAUACCCGCAGCUGGGUAAUUUAUAAAGGAAAAGGGGUUUAAUGGACUCACAGUUUCACAUGGCUGGGGAAGCCUCACAAUCAUGGUGGAAGAUGAAGGAAGAGCAAAGGGACAUCUUACAUGGCACCAGGCAAAAGCGUGUGUACAGGGGAACUCCCUUUAUAAAACCAUCAGAUCUCGUGACACUUAUUCACUGUCACAUGAACAGCAUAGGAAAAACCU